GAUGAACGCUAGCUACAGGCUUAACACAUGCAAGUCGAGGGGCAGCGGGAUUGAAGCUUGCUUCAAUUGCCGGCGACCGGCGCACGGGUGAGUAACGCGUAUCCAACCUUCCGUACACUCAGGGAUAGCCUUUCGAAAGAAAGAUUAAUACCUGAUGGUAUGAUGAGAUCGCAUGGUAUCAUCAUUAAAGAUUUAUCGGUGUACGAUGGGGAUGCGUUCCAUUAGGUAGUAGGCGGGGUAACGGCCCACCUAGCCUACGAUGGAUAGGGGUUCUGAGAGGAAGGUCCCCCACAUUGGAACUGAGACACGGUCCAAACUCCUACGGGAGGCAGCAGUGAGGAAUAUUGGUCAAUGGACGAGAGUCUGAACCAGCCAAGUAGCGUGAAGGAUGAAGGUCCUACGGAUUGUAAACUUCUUUUAUAAGGGAAUAAACCCUCCCACGUGUGGGAGCUUGUAUGUACCUUAUGAAUAGGCAUCGGCUAACUCCGUGCCAGCAGCCG
This 500-nucleotide ribosomal RNA is filed under the name uncultured bacterium. Its description in RNAcentral is "bacterial SSU rRNA". It matches the Rfam family "Bacterial small subunit ribosomal RNA", at positions 28 to 517 of the family's 1533-position model. The record is from RNAcentral.